RNAcentral lists this long non-coding RNA (887 nucleotides) under Brassica napus (rape). Its description in RNAcentral is "long non-coding RNA (BNAP_LNC005388)". Lineage: Eukaryota; Viridiplantae; Streptophyta; Magnoliopsida; Brassicales; Brassicaceae. The record is from RNAcentral.
CAUCGAUUUAGACGACGUCAACUAUGUUUAACAUGAUUUAGUGGAUGUCAACUAUGUUUAACAAAAGUGAAGUAGAUGUUAGUGUUUAGUUAAACAUGUGGUUAAACUGCGAAAGGCAAAUUCUUUUAAAAAUCCUUCUGAUAGAUUAUAUUGGUAGUUUUCUUCUUCAUAACACUUGCAUAGUGUAAAUUAACCUUGAUUGACAAAAAAUAAGAAUCGAAAACUAAUUCCAAAAUCAGAAACUCGUUUAAAAUUACCUAGUUUUCUUCGUCAUUUUUCAUGACAUGGAAAUCAUCUCCACUUUGAAGCAAUAUAAAAUGAAAUCAAAGCGAAGAAGAAGAAAAGGAACAGAGUUUGAUGAGUAAAAGAGGUUGGAAUAGAUUAGGGUGUCAAACUUGAAUUGAUGCUAGCUUGAAUAUAAGUAUCAAUCGAUUCGAGAGGUUUUGGUUGAGGGUGAGUGUGCUUUUCACUUUUAACCAUACGUUUAGUUAAAACUAAAGUCAUUUCUGUUAUAUGUAGUUGACUUUGUUUAAAUCGAUGUGUAAAAUCUACAAAUUUUAAAAGUUUGUAUAUUAAAUAGGAAACAAAAAUUAGUUCGGGUAUUAAAUGGGGAUCCAAAAUAGUUUGUGUAUUUUAUUAACAAAUGAAAAUUAGUUCAUGUAUUUUUAAGGAAUUGUUUUUUCAUAAAUUAGACACAUGUUUAAUUAAACAUUAACGUCGUGUUCACUUCCGUUAAACGUAGUUAACUCCGUCUAAAACGAUGUGUAAAACCUGCGAAUUUCAAAAGUUUGUGUAUAUAAUAGACAACAAAAAUUAGUUUGUGUAUUAAACGGGGAUCCAAAAUAGUUCGUGUAUUUUAUUAGCAAAUAAAAAUUAGUCCGUGUAUU